This 377-nucleotide non-coding RNA is filed under the name Pongo abelii (Sumatran orangutan). The record is from RNAcentral. Lineage: Eukaryota; Metazoa; Chordata; Mammalia; Primates; Hominidae.
CCGACGCGUAGCACCACAGCGGUAGCAGCCACGGGUGGUGGAAGGGCACGUCGCCGCCGCUCAGGAAGAACAGACGGCAGAACUUGCUCAGGAACAGCAGCAGCGGGAUGAAAUGCGUCCAGAAGUUGAGCGUCUCGUUGGACUUCUAUUUGGAACUGAGUCCGACAGCUCAGGACUGGCUGCUCAGACUCCACAAUUUAAUGAAAAAUCUGAGAUGAUGACUCAGAAAACCUCUAACGAUCUGAGGAAUAUAUUAAGGGAUUCCAAAGUCAAAGGCUGAUCAUGGAGGGCAUUGAUGAGGGGAGACUUCAGGUGGCCAGAGACUAGAAGAAAGGAACACCGGAAGAAUGAAAACGGUUGUGAUGCACUGCAGUGUG